CCUACGGGUGGCAGCAGUGGGGAAUAUUGCGCAAUGGGCGAAAGCCUGACGCAGCGACGCCGCGUGAGGGAUGAAGGUCUUCGGAUCGUAAACCUCUGUCAGCAGGGAAGAACGGGCAGUGUGCUAAUCAGCAGUGAAUUGACGGUACCUGCAAAGGAAGCACCGGCUAACUCCGUGCCAGCAGCCGCGGUAAUACGGAGGGUGCGAGCGUUAAUCGGAAUUACUGGGCGUAAAGCGCUCGUAGGCGGUAUGUCAAGUCAAGGGUGAAAUCCCCGCGCUCAACGUGGGAACUGCCUUUGAAACUGGUAAACUGGAGUGUGGGAGAGGAUAGUGGAAUUCCAGGUGUAGGAGUGAAAUGCGUAGAGAUCUGGAGGAACAUCAGUGGCGAAGGCGACUAUCUGGCACAUAACUGACGCUGAGGAGCGAAAGCGUGGGUAGCAAACAGGAUUAGAUACCCCAGUAGUC
Molecule: ribosomal RNA, 465 nt
Filed under: uncultured bacterium
Lineage: Bacteria
Description: partial 16S ribosomal RNA
Rfam family: Bacterial small subunit ribosomal RNA
Source: RNAcentral